GAUGAACGCUGGCGGCGUGCCUAAUACAUGCAAGUCGAGCGAACGGACGAGAAGCUUGCUUCUCUGAUGUUAGCGGCGGACGGGUGAGUAACACGUGGAUAACCUACCUAUAAGACUGGGAUAACUUCGGGAAACCGUAGCUAAUACCGGAUAAUAUUUUGAACCGCAUGGUUCAAAAGUGAAAGACGGUCUUGCUGUCACUUAUAGAUGGAUCCGCGCUGCAUUAGCUAGUUGGUAAGGUAACGGCUUACCAAGGCAACGAUGCAUAGCCGACCUGAGAGGGUGAGCGGCCACACUGGAACUGAGACACGGUCCAGCCUCCUACGGGAGGCAGCAGUAGGGAAUCUUCCGCAAUGGGCGAAAGCCAGACGGAGCAACGCCGCGUGAGUGAUGAAGGUCUUCGGAUCGUAAAACUCUGUUAUUAGGGAAGAAAAUAUGUGUAAGUAACUGGGCACAUCUUGAAGGUACCUAAUCAGAAAGCCACGGCUAAAUACGUG
This 497-nucleotide ribosomal RNA is filed under the name uncultured bacterium. RNAcentral's name for it is "partial 16S ribosomal RNA". It matches the Rfam family "Bacterial small subunit ribosomal RNA", at positions 28 to 507 of the family's 1533-position model. The record is from RNAcentral.